This is a long non-coding RNA of Aphis gossypii (cotton aphid), 331 nucleotides long. RefSeq lists it as uncharacterized. The transcript has 3 exons. The record is from RefSeq and is a predicted model, not a curated record. Lineage: Eukaryota; Metazoa; Arthropoda; Insecta; Hemiptera; Aphididae.
AUGGCUUCCUUCUAGACAAAACACAAUAUAUUGGUAAAUCUGUAAUAGAAAGUUUAAUGAGAUUGUCCCAAAGUGGUUACUUAAAGCUUAAUUUUAAAUUAACUGAAUUACACUUGCAUGCUAAAGAACAUCAACGCCAGAAAGUAAGAUAAGCCACGCAACUUUUUUCACGUACAGUAGCAAAUGCUAUUCAAUAUUAUGGUGAUAAAAAUGCUCUCUUACCAUCAAACUGGGAAAAGUGUGCAGAGAUCAUUCUUUUGGCGAACAAUUGGUUUGAUCGAUUAAAUUCUCAACAAACAUAUGGGGAUAACUCAAAUGCAUAUGGUUUAGA